CCUUCUAGAAACUAAGUUCCAUGGGCGCAGGAACUCUCCUUUAUUGGUUGCCCUGUCAUUGGUACCGAGAAAGAUGCUUGCCACAUACCCAUACAUGUCUGUUGAAUAAAUCAGCUCUGGGAAAGACCCUCAGAUUUUCCAUGCCCUGAAGAGUUAGUUUCCCAAAGUCAAGGUCCUCUUGCCAGAGAGGCCACAGUGACUUUCCUCUGGCCUGCAGACACCAUGCUGCUCUCAGAUGCAUUCCAUAGCCAUCUCUCAUCACAGGUGGAAGAGCUUCUGGCCAAUUGAAAGACAAUGGCUUGUGUGAGAUGAGCACCCCUCCUCCUCCCCAGGGAUUUAAAAAAGUAACAGUAAUAAUAUUAAGGCAGUGGAAGAACAUGGGGUAUGGAUUCACUUAGACCCAGGUUCAGUCCUGGCUCCCCGCCACUCACCAGCUGUGCAGCCUUGGCACUGUACUGAGCCCUCUGGAAGCAUCACAUCACCUAAUCCUCCACUACAAUCUGAUAAAAUACAUACAGCUACUCAUUCCCAUUUUACAAACAUAGAAACAGAGUUAGAUGGGUUAUGUAAUUUUUAAGGUCUAACACUUGGAAAAUAGAGUUGAGAUUGGCCUCAGGUAGCCUGACCCCAGUGCUCUGCUCUCAAGUUAAUUUGUAAGCUUCUGAGCUCUGGCUGGUAAGCAUUCUGAAUGAGAUCCUUGAGUCUGAGUGUGUUACUCUGCUCUUAUGUGUGUUGCUUUGAGCAUAUGUGCUGUCAUGCUCUCCUUUGAGCUUGAAAGCGUUAGAUGGCCUUCUCCCAGUUGUUAGUGUUAAGAUGGGCCAGAACAGGCCACUGCUUUGUGCGACUCCAGGGGGCGCUAUUCGCAUUGCAGUCUAUGCACGGGCCCUGGCCAUUCUGUGUGUGUGCGCGCGCGCGCGCGCGCGCGUGUGUGUGUCUCUCUCUCUCUCUCUCUCUCUCUCUCUCUCUCUCUCUCUCUCUGCUGGGGGCGGGGUUGUGGUGGGUAUCAGAUUUCUGAUAACCUCUCUGAAAGUUGGAAGUCUACACAUGUGUAUUCUUAAUAGCAUAUGAACUUCAGAAAAAACGGUAUGGUAUUAUUUUAAAACAUAGCCUUUAAGGUCAGACACCUGGAAUCAAAUUCUAGUUCUAUUCCCUAUGAUGUAAAUGUCCUCGGGUGGGUUGCUUAAAGCUUGUUGCUUCAUAAAUAGAAUGGGGAAUAGUUCCUCCUGGAGUUGUGCCCGUUGAGACGAUCAUUACUGAGACUGGCACUUUGCAUGUGAUCAAUAAAU
Long non-coding RNA from Lagenorhynchus albirostris (white-beaked dolphin), 1286 nucleotides. RefSeq lists it as uncharacterized. The transcript is spliced from 3 exons. The record is from RefSeq and is a predicted model, not a curated record. Lineage: Eukaryota; Metazoa; Chordata; Mammalia; Artiodactyla; Delphinidae.